This 6418-nucleotide long non-coding RNA is filed under the name Nicotiana tabacum (common tobacco). RNAcentral's name for it is "long non-coding RNA (NTAB_LNC017822)". Lineage: Eukaryota; Viridiplantae; Streptophyta; Magnoliopsida; Solanales; Solanaceae. The record is from RNAcentral.
AGGUUACUCUCUCUCCGUUACCGUCAAAUAACAGCGGGGGGAAAUAUCCUACUGUUUCUUCAUCACUAUGCCGUCAGUUCCGCUUCCUACUUGACUGAAUCUGCCGCCAUGGAAGGGGAUAAUCUAACUGCAGAAUUGUUACAUAAACACUGAUGGGAAUGCAGAGGAGAUAUAUUGGUUCCCUUCUCAAAUAUUCCAGGUCCAAUUUUCGCUUCCAAAAUUCUAAAAUUACAUAUUCUGAUCCUUUUUACGUCAUUGAUUAAGUUUUUCAUGAACCAGUUCAACUUAGAUUUUGCUGUUUUUUUCGUCUGCCUCAGAUUCUGUAUCAUUUGUAGUUUAAUAUGUUUUUGAGUUGCAAACAACUUUUGAGCUAAAGUUGGCAUCUUUUGGUCUGUGGAUUUUACCCUAAAAGUUCCAUUUGUUUCUCAGAUGGCAAAUUCGUAAUUUUGUUGGAUUGUUUUAGUUACGCUUAUGGCGUCUGAAAUUGGUCCGUAAGUAUUGAUAAGUGAUGUUCUGUUCCUAUUCCUCUGAAAUCUUUCGUUUGCCCACCCGAAAACCUUGAUGAAAACAGAGGCAGAUGCUUCCUUAUUUAUUGGGUUCAACUUCUGAACCCAGUAAUUUGGAUACGGAACAUAAAUAUAAAUGGAAAAGUAGUAGAAUUUCAACAAAUUUUAAAUUACGAAUCUGUAAUUACAAAAGUGCAAUGAAUUCAAUAGUAAGAACUUAAAUGUUGAACCUAUCAUAUCUAAAUUCUGGAGCUGCCUCUUGAUACAAAUGUUAUGGCCAAGAGGGAAAGGUUAUGAUGUAAUAUGGUUUAACUAACCCUAAAGCUAGGUCAUCUCUGUACAAUCUCUUGUAGGGCCCUAUUCAGUUGUGUUCAUUAUUGUAGUAACAGCUAUAUGUAUCAUCUCUCUUCGGUUGUCCCUAUAAGGGUUUCAUGAACUGGAGUUCCAGGUUCUGGUGUAGAAAACCCUUCUUCUGUAAGGGAUGCUCCUAGGCUGUCGGAAAUUCUGAUGUCUGGGCUUUGCGAGGCAAGAUGGAGCAAUAUUUCAGGGGAAGCUGCACUUGCUGCAAAAGGUGUAGCCGUUUGGCUCUCAUUGUCUUCUGGCAUUUCUGACUUAGAAUUAGAGCUAUCUUUCUCUUCAUCAAAGACUUUAGCUAUUGUAGAAAGCUUUUGCCAUAUUGAAUCAUCAGUGUCUAAGAUUUCUCUAUUCUGAUAAAGGAAGAUGAGGAAGAAUAUGAGAAGAGCAGAACCAGCUGAUACACCAGCUAUGAGGAAAAGGCCCUUAAAACUAUCUAGUGUGAGGCUGUCCGAUGUUAUAGCCAUUCCAUCUUUCUCUGGGCAAUCUGUUUCAUUCCCAAACCAUUUCUGUAUUAUGUUAUUCAUAAACUCUCCCUCCAUCACCUUUAGGACUCCUCUCGAGACGUCAGGUACCAAUGGAGAUCCUUUUGGAAAUGCCUGCAAGAAGUUAUGGAGAAAAAAAAUGGAUUAGAUCGUUGAAACUACAAUCCUAUCUAAAAAUGUAAAAGCAUUCCAAAACACCACUGGAGUGCGAGAAUCUUACGAAUCCAAAGCCAGCAGCCUUGUAAGUUGGACCGACCAUAAUGUACUUCCUGCAGUACUUGUUGAGGAAAAGUCUCAGAUAAGGUAGUUCAUCAACAAUUGCACCAACUCCCCCAUUUUUACUUCCUCUUGAGAGGGCAUCAUUGUACUCUUCCAAUGUACUAUAACUCUUAAACUUGGAGCUAUCAAAAUUCAUGCGCUUCAAGACGUCUUUGACAAAGGAACCUUCUUGGUACCCAACAUAUUCUCCAUUUGUUAUGAGAUCAUUGAGGUUUGUUACAGUAGGUUGGAGCUGUUGCACUGUUAACAUAGAUGUUAAGUUGGCUGUAUAACUUGAUGUCAGUACUAGCACCACGAAAACCCACACAAUAAUCACGAAUCUUGUUAAGUUGCUUGUUACCCUCUCUCCUGCAGCAACCAGCCAUAUCAUUUGUUGAGAAACAAGGAGAAUGUAAAGGUUUCAUAUGUACUGUGCUUUAAGUAAGAGACUUACUGUGUGCAAAAACGAGAGUUGAGAAGGAAAACCAGAAUAUCAUCCCAACUUGCUUGUGUUUGGGUCCUCGAAACUCUUUGUUUACACGAUGCUCGAGUACCCAAACCACAAAACCAAUGAAGACGAAGAAUGCUCCAGUUGUUAUCCAAAGUUCGGUCUUUAGAGGUUUCAAGAAAAUCCAAGCAUUCUUCCUCUCAUCAUCCCUUACUGGCACUACUGCAGAAAUACCCGACUCCGUGAAAGGUAAUGUGAAAUCCACAUACUUGGAUCGGUUCGCUAAAAUGGUCACAUCACCUAUAACUGCAUCAUAUUCCUGGUUCAAGCAAACAAUGUUUAUUGCAUCAAUUAUGGUGGGUCAAAAAUCUGAAAGUAGAUAAGAAAGUCCCAAGAGAGAGCAUGUGAGUAAGGUAUUCAACCAAAGACAUUAAUUCAAACAAGGAUUAUAUAUUACCUUGGAAGAGAUCUUGUAAAUAAGAUCAUCAUAGUCUGGAAGAGUUAGGGUAUCUGGUAUUCGAAAUGGAAUAAGUUCGUACGGGACAGCAAAUGGCAAAGAUUGGAUGACUUCUUUGAAGACAUCUGCACAGAAACCAGUUGCAGUUACUGCUUGUGUUUUUGAAUCUAUUUCCACUUUGAUGAAUUGCUCCAAGCCUCCUUUGACAGGAACUCCAACCCUUAACUUCUUCCCACUUGUGGGCAUCUCCCAGCCUCUCGGAACAAUAGUCGAUUCACCCGGCCAAAUGAUGGUACCUAGUUGCUUAUUACUACUAUUAGCUGUUUUCCCAUUCAUAGUCAGUUUAUAUGAAAUUCCAUCACUCUCUGUCCAGAAUCCAAUGCUUCUCUCUCCUUUCCCAAUUAUGUUCACAAUCUGAUAUGGGGAUGGCUGCAAUUCUCCAUCAAUGAUACGGAAAUCACCACUUAGUCCUCUUUUUAGGGAUGUGUUUUGCAGAGUGUCAAUGAGCAAAGAUCCCAAUUCUGAGGUUCCAAGUGCAUCUAAGUCCGAUAAGUUCUCUUUAGUGUCUGGUUUCUUGACUUCUGGGAUGGCAGUUGUGCCCACAUUCUGUACUGCUUUUGCUAAGACGGUAAUGCUAUCAUAUGCCCAUAGCCCGUAAACAUUGAGUUCAACUUGGUCCAUGUUUGGAUACUCUUGACGAAAUCUCUCUCUCCAUCUCUUGGUGAAAUUGUUAAGCUCAUGUGAUCUUGGAAAGUAAGGCUUUACACCAAGAACACCUUGCAUUGAUGACUCAAUCACUGAAGGAUCUACCGAGUCUAGAAGACUCGUUAGCACAUCUGUGAUGAUCCAUGCAUAUCCACUGCUCAUCAUCCCAGCUUCUUUGGCUUUGAAGAAAAGGCGUGAGGCAAGAAAUGACUGCAAGUGCACGAUGAACACCCUCGUCUGCAUUGUAUUCAACUUGUAUAGCUCCCUGAGGAUUUGAUCAUCAUUGGCUGAAGGAGAAAUAACACUUCUAUAGGAGACUAAAGUGCUAAUUUCCAGUAAAGCAUCAGUCAAAUGUGGAACUAUCCCCGUUCCAAAGGGGCUAUCCUCAUAGAUGAUUACAACCUCCCUCCACUCAUAGUUUUUAACAAUUGCUGCUAUGGCUUUAGUCUGGCUGGAAGAAGGAAGUGCUGCUCUGAUGAAGUAGGGAUUUUCCUUGACUGAAAGUGAAGGACUUGUUGCUGGAGAAAUGACAGGAACCUUUACUUUGUUCCCUAUGUCAAUCACAAAAUCAGUUUGUGUAGACAUUUGUGGCCCAAAGAUAGCUUGUACUUUGACAUCCUUUAGCAAGUAUAUGGCUGCACACACACAAUUAGACUGUAAGAUAUUGUCUGAACAUCCCUUUCAAAAUAGGAAAACCAGUGAAAAUAAGAGUAUCUUAGGGAAAAAAGACAAUAUCUUGUGCAAGUAGCCAUAAUACCAGAGUAAGAUAUGUUAGUUUAAAGCAGUAAAUCACCAGCUAAAUUUACCUGCGGAUGCUGCUUCAACAUCAUCUUUCUUGGAAUCUCUGAAGUGAGGGACUAUCCUAAUGGCACUGCGAUUAGCGGCAUGGUAAUCUUCAAGAGCUAGCAAUAUGCAUGUGUGCAUUACUUUUGCCACAUUUGUUUCCAGAUCAAGAAUUAUACCUACAUCUACCUUCUUUAUGACAUUAGUUUCAUCUUGACCUCUUAUUGGCAUUAUGUGGUAGCAAAAGCUAAUGAUAGAGACAAACUGAAUGAAAAGAAUCAGGAAGUGGCAUCUUUGGUUUUGCAUCUGAAAAGCUCUGUAAAUAUUCUAAGAGUUGGCCAACAAGCAGUUGGGGCUUUUUGAAAGUAACUACCUUUCAGAGAUGUGUGUAAAGCUCUCUCAAUUAGGAAGCUCUGGAUAUAUAAUCAUAUACUUCAACCAAUACUUUGCCUUCGUACCUAUAACUACGUAGCAUGAAAAGUCGAAAAUAAAACCUUCAAAUAAGAGUCGUGAGAGGACUUUUAGCUAGCAAGAUUCCUCCUUAAUUUGACCAAAUCAAAUGUUGACUAAAUUAAAACACUGACAAAAUUGAUAUUGGUUUGAACUUUGCGUGGUACUCAUUCCUCCAAUUCACAAUUAGUUUUGUAUUCAUUUGAUGCCGACUAUAUAGAGGAUAUUGAAUGGACUUUUCUUAUUUUGGCAAAGGCAGAGGGAGUUGACAAAUUUAGCUCAGUCAAAUCCUAUGAAAAUUACCAUAAGUAGAGCUGUAGAAGAGAACAUUGUGUCUAGACUUAGAUAAGGUUACUACUACUAUAUACCAAAAUAUUAUUUUACGCGGUUUGAGUUCAGACUUGGUCAGUAGUAACUUGCUUGCACAUCAAAAUUAGUGCAUGGAAUGGAAUGAUGAUACAGUUAGAUGGAAGAAGUAAACUUUAUGUAGUUGCCAUUGGCUCACCCUAAUUGUUAAUGUUAAAGAGUAAAAUAUACUAUAGAAGAAUUAACUUAAAUGGCAGCCCACUCAAUUAAUUAAACUAAAAAUAGCCGACGAAUAUAUAAUAUGUGUAUAAUUUAUAUAUAACAUAUAUAUAAUUAUGUAUAAUAAGUGUAUAAUCUAUAUAUACCAGCUAGAAAAAGUAAACGAUAAAACUGGCCGGCUAUUUGUGUAAAGAUCCUAGUACAUGCAUUGCGAAUUUUCUUUCUUAUUUAUCCGGGAUUUUAAAUGGAAUUUUUACAUCCUAUAGAAAACCUUAGUACCCUAUUUAUUUUAAAUAAAUACCAUUUUAAAAUAUUACAUCCUAUACAUACCUUUUAUACUUUAUAGCCAAAUAUCUAAUUAUAGUUACAUCCUACAUUUAAGGCACCAUAUAUGCUAAAUAAUAUUUUUCUCUCUCCUUUUUAGUGUUUUCUCUCACAUAAUCACAGUAAAAUUGACUAACCACGUUCUCUCUCUUUUUGCAUACACUUUACUCUUUCUCCCUCAACCCACGAUUCAUACCUCUCCUCCCACCCAAAUUCUCUAGUUCUCCUCCAUUCUCACUCCAUUACAAUCGCCUAGGGUAAGUUUAAUUCGUUGAUUUUGAUAGACGAAGAGCAAUUGGUUCAACUGUAGCGGCUCGAUUCUGCUUGGCAGUGGUCGUUGAAGUAGGGUUCACAACUUUUGCGUAAUUCAUGGCUUCGUUUGUGGGAUUUGAGGGCUGGGGAUUGUUUGUAGUUGUUGUAGGAGGUUGGGCAGCUGUGUUAAGGGGCUGACCAACCGGAAUUAAUGGUUGUCCGCCGGCCGGCGAAGCCAUCAGGCUGCUUCUCUCUCUAGAUCGCCCAAAUCGCCUAUUUUAUAUUCAGUUGUAUUCGAAUGUAUAUUUCAGCUGUAUUCACAUGUAUUCAGUAGCAUUAAUUUAUAUAUUUUAGAUGUAUUAAAAAGUUAUGCGUAUUCUCUUGUAUUCAGUUUUAAUCAGUUGUAUUUAACUAUUUUAUUCAGCAGAAGUUAGUUGUAUUUUGUUUCAUUCAAGAGUUUUAUCCAGCUGUAUUCAGUUGUAUUUUGUUGUAUUCAAGUGUUUUAUUCAGAUGAAUUAAGUUGUAUUUUGUUGUAUUCAACUGUAUACAGUUCUACUCAACUGUAUUAUUCAUAUGUAUUUCUCUUUAUUCAGCUAUAAUCUUUAUUAUGUAUCUUUCAAAUACAGAUUAAUGAGGGAUCGUUUUAGUUCGUUGAGUUAAAUUAGGAGAAUAUCAUGUGAUUUGAUUUCCUUAGUCCGUGGAGUUAAAUUAGGAGAAUAUCAUGUGAUUUGAUUUUCUUCCGUUUUUAACCAGUUUAACCUUCUGUAUUUAACGUUAAUGCCGCUUGAAUACAGCUAAAUACAUGUCAAACUUAGCUGGAAUUCCAGUUUUUACGCCUAUUUUUUUGGUUGUAUUAAUGAAUACAACAACU